Molecule: long non-coding RNA, 312 nt
Filed under: Parus major (Great Tit)
Lineage: Eukaryota; Metazoa; Chordata; Aves; Passeriformes; Paridae
Description: lncRNA (ENSPMJG00000010756.1)
Source: RNAcentral
CUUGGCCAAAAAAUAACAGCUUCAAGAGUCAAGAACUUGUCAAGAAGCAGCUUUACUGACCAUGCCUUCAAAAGUAAGAAAGAGUUCAGUCAUAGUGAGCUGCCCAAUUCCACUGCUCAAAUGUAUCCACACUAAUUCUGCAUGUGUUCUGUGACUUUGGUUAUCUCUGCUCUGAGCUGCAAAUUGCUGUUUUUCAGGAAAACUGCUGUUUCGGAUGCAGUCUUACUGAACCUUUGCCCAGUGCUGAAACCAAACUGAAUCUGAGCCUUUUCCAGGAAGACUGGGAGGAGAUGUGAAAACUGUUUAGAACUA